This 468-nucleotide ribosomal RNA is filed under the name uncultured bacterium. RNAcentral's name for it is "partial 16S ribosomal RNA". It matches the Rfam family "Bacterial small subunit ribosomal RNA", at positions 28 to 507 of the family's 1533-position model. The record is from RNAcentral.
GACGAACGCUGGCGGCGUGCUUAACACAUGCAAGUCGAACGGAAAGGCCCUGCUUUUGUGGGGUGCUCGAGUGGCGAACGGGUGAGUAAUACGUGAGUAACCUGCCCUUGACUUUGGGAUAACUUCAGGAAACUGGGACUAAUACCGGAUAGGAGCUCCUGCUGCAUGGUGGGGGUUGGAAAGUUUCGGCGGUUGGGGAUGGACUCGCGGCUUAUCAGCUUGUUGGUGGGGUAGUGGCUUACCAAGGCUUUGACGGGUAGCCGGCCUGAGAGGGUGACCGGCCACAUUGGGACUGAGAUACGGCCCAGACUCCUACGGGAGGCAGAAGUGGGGAAUAUUGCACAAUGGGCGGAAGCCUGAUGCAGCAACGCCGCGUGCGGGAUGACGGCCUUCGGGUUGUAAACCGCUUUCGCCUGUGACGAAGCGUGAGUGACGGUAAUGGGUAAAGAAGCACCGGCUAACUACGUG